GACGGUGCAACCUUCCGCCCCAUCGCGUAGCGCAAUAGCCAACACCGUAGCGUACCCACGAUGCUGACGGCGACCAAGCCGCUAGUAGGGGGCGCGUGUGCCGCGCCGUCGUCGUCGGCCCGGCGGAGGACGUUCGUGGUGCCCGAGGCUCGCCGGAAACCAGGCAAUGGCCGCCGCACCAGCGUCUCCAAGGUGGGCAGCACCAGCACCAGCACCACCACCACUACCACCACCACCUUGUCCGCCGACUCCAAUGGGGCGGCCGUUGGCACGGUAACCCGCCCGGACGUCCACGUCCAGGACCGCACGCACGCCACCGAGAUGAAGGCCACGGUGACGGUGCACAUGAGUAAGGCAGCCG
Molecule: long non-coding RNA, 361 nt
Filed under: Hordeum vulgare
Lineage: Eukaryota; Viridiplantae; Streptophyta; Magnoliopsida; Poales; Poaceae
Description: long non-coding RNA (HVUL_LNC011306)
Source: RNAcentral